Molecule: RNA transcript, 1688 nt
Organism: Nilaparvata lugens (brown planthopper)
Lineage: Eukaryota; Metazoa; Arthropoda; Insecta; Hemiptera; Delphacidae
Gene: icln
Gene name: methylosome subunit pICln
Exons: 5
Source: RefSeq, a predicted model, not a curated record
UAACCUAUAACUUGAUUUCCAUUUUCGUUGAAUUUCGUUCCAUCUUCCUUAUCCAUUGUCUAAAAAAUUGGCUUGUUGUUGAAGUUGUUGAUAUCUUUGAUUUGAUUUUGUUACAGUUUAAAUAACUUACUAGCUUAUAAAAACUUGAAAAUUAUUGUAAUCUUUCAUCCUUUAAUAUGGUAAUCCUAAGCAAUUUGCCACCACCCUCCGUGGGAAUAAGACUGGAGCAACCUAGUACAAGAGUUAUCGUUGACAACAGAGAAAUUGGGAAAGGCACACUGUUUAUAGCAGAAUCUAGUCUGUCGUGGGUCAACAGUGAGACAAACACAGGCUUCUCUCUGUGUUAUCAGAAUAUAUCUUUGCACGCUAUUUCUCGAGAUCUCAAUGCAAGACCCUAUGAAUGUCUAUACGUUAUGGUGGAUACCUGUUUGGAUGAAGGCCAAAAUGGCGGCAACGAUAACGAGGAUGAUGAUGAUGAGGAGGAGGAGAAGCCCGAGUACACGGAGAUGUACUUUGUGCCGGACGACUCGAGUCGGCUCAACGACAUGUUCACGGCGAUGAACGAGUGUCAGGCGCUCAACCCGGACCCGGAAGACAGUCUGUCCCACGAGGAGGAUGAAGACGAGGAGGACGAGUUCGAGGAUGCCGACUCGGAGGGGGAGUACACCGUCUGCAACGGGAAAGCUGGUGGCUAGGGUAUCGUCUGAGCACUUCCAAAGAUGCCUUCAGAGUUCUUGAGAAGAUAGCUGAUACGGAUACCGGUAACUCAUCAGUCAGGACCAACGGCUCAAGGAACAUAAUCGAACCAAUGGACAUAGAGGAAGGCCAAUUCGAGGACGCAGACAGUUCGCCGGAAAAUUGAACGAUUUUUGAAAAAUUGUAAAUUUCCAACCCAGUUGGAUACUAACUACUGCUCUGUCAACUUGAGAACACUGCAGGUUUCCUUUAGAGUUUAAGCUGUUUUAGAUUGUAACCAACCAAAGUUUGUAGGGAUUUAUCUGUUCUGUUGAUUUUUGUAAUGAAUUGUACGUCAUUCAUAGAUAGGGGAGACUAAGCGAUACAAUAGUAUUCAUUAUUUGCCUAUACAAAUGAAUACAUUAAGGCUUAACUCACACUUACGCGACUCAGGUCGAGAAGAGACUCGACUCUAGUCGAGAGCAUGUGUUUCCAAAUGGUGACACUCAGACCAGUCGUUUCCAGUCUCCGCGACGUCACCCAUUUGAAAACACAUGCUCUCGACUUGAGUCGAGUCUCUUCUCGACCUGAAUCGCGUAAGUGUGAGUUAAGCCUAAAUCAGCUGUAGACUCGUAUAGGGUCAAAGCAUAGUGGAUCAGCGAAUGUAGAGUGGUAUCAGAGAAGGUAGCUGAGAGAGUUUGAACAAUGUCCCUAUUUUCACCGCUCCAAUAUGUUCUGAAACAUUGAAUUAUAAAUUAAAUAUUGAAUUAUAAACAUGCAUUAUUUUCAACACUCUGAUAGACAUAGUGGAUCAGCGAAUGUAGAGUGGUAUCAGAGAAGUUAGCUGAGAGAGCUUGAAUAAUGCCCCUAUUUUCACCGCUCCAAUAUGUUCUAAAACAUUUGAAUUAUAAAUUAAUUAUUGAAUUAUAAACAUGCAUUAUUUUCAACACUCUGAUAGACUUUACCUUCGCCACUCCACUAGGUUUCAACAUAGAGAAAAGAUAGUACAAGAA